This 468-nucleotide ribosomal RNA is filed under the name uncultured bacterium. Its description in RNAcentral is "partial 16S ribosomal RNA". It matches the Rfam family "Bacterial small subunit ribosomal RNA", at positions 28 to 507 of the family's 1533-position model. The record is from RNAcentral.
GACGAACGCUGGCGGCGUGCUUAACACAUGCAAGUCGAACGGAAAGGCCCUGCUUUUGUGGGGUGCUCGAGUGGCGAACGGGUGAGUAACACGUGAGUAACCUGCCCUUGACUUUGGGAUAACUUCAGGAAACUGGGGCUAAUACCGGAUAGGAGCUCCUGCUGCAUGGUGGGGGUUGGAAAGUUUCGGCGGUUGGGGAUGGACUCGCGGCUUAUCAGCUUGUUGGUGGGGUAGUGGCUUACCAAGGCUUUGACGGGUAGCCGGCCUGAGAGGGUGACCGGCACCAUUGGGACUGAGAUACGGCCCAGAGUCCUACGGGAGGCAGCAGUGGGGAAUAUUGCACAAUGGGCGGAAGCCUGAUGCAGCAACGCCGCGUGCGGGAUGACGGCCUUCGGGUUGUAAACCGCUUUCGCCUGUGACGAAGCGUGAGUGACGGUAAUGGGUAAAGAAGCACCGGCUAACUACGUG